UUAAGCCAUGCAUGUCUAAGUAUAAGCAAUUAUACAGCGAAACUGCGAAUGGCUCAUUAUAUAAGUUAUCGUUUAUUUGAUAGUACCUUACUACUUGGAUAACCGUGGUAAUUCUAGAGCUAAUACAUGCUGAAAAUCCCGACUUCGGAAGGGAUGUAUUUAUUAGAUUAAAAACCAAUGCCCUCUGGGCUCCUUGGUGAUUCAUAAUAACUUUUCGAAUCGCACGGCCUUGCGCCGGCGAUGGUUCAUUCAAAUUUCUUCCCUAUCAACUUUCGAUGUUUGGGUAUUGGCCAAACAUGGUCGCAACGGGUAACGGAGGGUUAGGGCUCGACCCCGGAGAAGGAGCCUGAGAAACGGCUACUACAUCCAAGGAAGGCAGCAGGCGCGCAAAUUACCCAAUCCCGAUUCGGGGAGGUAGUGACAAUAAAUACUGAUACAGGGCUCUUUUGGGUCUUGUAAUUGGAAUGAGUACAAUUUAAAUCUCUUAACGAGGAACAAUUGGAGGGCAAGUCUGGUGCCAGCAGCCGCGGUAAUUCCAGCUCCAAUAGCGUAUAUUAAAGUUGUUGUGGUUAAAAAGCUCGUAGUUGAACCUUGGGCCUGGCUGGCCGGUCCGCCUCACCGCGUGUACUGGUCCGGCCGGGCCUUUCCCUCUGUGGAACCUCAUGCCCUUCACUGGGUGUGGCGGGGAAACAGGACUUUUACUUUGAAAAAAUUAGAGUGCUCCAGGCAGGCCUAUGCUCGAAUACAUUAGCAUGGAAUAAUAAAAUAGGACGUGUGGUUCUAUUUUGUUGGUUUCUAGGACCGCCGUAAUGAUUAAUAGGGACAGUCGGGGGCAUCAGUAUUCAAUUGUCAGAGGUGAAAUUCUUAGAUUUAUUGAAGACUAACUACUGCGAAAGCAUUUGCCAAGGAUGUUUUCAUUAAUCAGGAACGAAAGUUAGGGGAUCGAAGACGAUCAGAUACCGUCGUAGUCUUAACCAUAAACUAUGCC
This 988-nucleotide ribosomal RNA is filed under the name Beauveria brongniartii. RNAcentral describes it as "SSU rRNA". It matches the Rfam family "Eukaryotic small subunit ribosomal RNA", at positions 44 to 1043 of the family's 1831-position model. The record is from RNAcentral. Lineage: Eukaryota; Fungi; Ascomycota; Sordariomycetes; Hypocreales; Cordycipitaceae.